UACCAGCACCCCGAGUGGUCGGGACGUUUAUUGGGCCUAAAGCAUCCGUAGCCGGUUCUACAAGUCUUCCGUUAAAUCCACCUGCUUAACAGACGGGCUGCGGAAGAUACUAUGGAGCUAGGAGGCGGGAGAGGCAAGCGGUACUCGAUGGGUAGGGGUAAAAUCCGUUGAUCCAUUGAAGACCACCAGUGGCGAAGGCGGCUUGCCAGAACGCGCUCGACGGUGAGGGACGAAAGCUGGGGGAGCAAACCGG
Molecule: ribosomal RNA, 253 nt
Filed under: uncultured bacterium
Lineage: Bacteria
Description: partial 16S ribosomal RNA
Rfam family: Archaeal small subunit ribosomal RNA
Source: RNAcentral